CCCUAGCCCCGAUAGUAGCGGCAUCCUCUUGUUUCGUCCCUAAGACGAGACAAGAGAUAUAGCGGAUAGCGGGAAAGAGC
Molecule: non-coding RNA, 80 nt
Organism: Flavobacterium flevense
Lineage: Bacteria; Pseudomonadati; Bacteroidota; Flavobacteriia; Flavobacteriales; Flavobacteriaceae
Source: Rfam